GCGGCGGCGGCCGGUUUGUUCUGUCCGCGUCGGAGCGCAGGGCGCGGCGGUGCGGCGUGCCCGUCCGCACUAGCGCCGCUAGCAGGCAGCACUAGCGCCGACCAGGACGGGGCCGCCGCCGCCGCACGGCACGCACAGCUCGUGUCGCUUGCGCUAUUAAUACCCGUUCGUUCCUGGACUCGACGGCGACUGUCGAUCCUAUUGUCGUCUCACUGCGACUACUGUAUCGCUUAAAAAACAAUAAAUGCGACUCAUUGUUUUAUUUUCCAUUUCUGUGAUAUACUGUGAUUUUGUUGUUAUAAUAAAUUCAAUAUACCUAAUUAUUUCACGGGUAUGGAUGUUUUAUUGUGCAAAUGAACAGUAUAGUGUUUCGACUCCUCCGGGAAAAUGGAGGGUUUUGUAAUAAGUACAAUCAUCAGGCGGAGCCGGUCGUCAUCUAUCGAUUCACCGCAGCCAUGAGCAGGCCUGAGCCGGCUUGAGAAGGCGCGGACCAGGUCGUGAAGAGGAGAGUUUCUCUUCUCUGGAACAAGACAAGUUUGCCAGGUGGACACCAGAUUGGAACCAAGCUCCGACCGAUCGAGAGACGAAUUGAAAACUUCAUGUUUUUGUAUAUUAUCGAGUACUACGCGUCGCGACGCAAAUUUUUCGUUUGUUUUCAAACCGCAACCCUGAGCGGUCCACAACGAAGGUGCUAAGUACCUCUGGGCCACCUCCCGCGCCACCCCCCCCCCCGCGCCACCUGCUGCGAGGUAACGCACGGCGCCUGGAAAAGACUUCAACGGUCAACCGGCACCGCCACGCCGCGCCGUGACCUGCCCGCCGAUCUGCUACACCACGUCAACGGUAGAAUAAACUUUUAAACACGCGCAGGCAAACUAUAUCACGUAUUUAAAAAGAAAUAAACGAAAAGGUAGAUGAACGAUUAAAGCUCAACUGCCAAACUAAGAUUCCAUCGUGUCCCGCGAGCCGGACACACACGUACGACACAGGAGUCAGGACAAUAAUUUGAUACGUUCGGCCCCGAAUAACAAGGAGUAUAUGACCAUAUAUUAUAAAUACAUAAUUAUAUUGGCUUAGGUAGUCCGGGAAAUAAAGCCGCGUUCCGUAUCCAUUAACCACCAGCCAACGGAUGUUGUGUGUAUCGUAUGGCACGCGUCAGAGCGUGUGCUUGGCAUGUGCUUGGCGUGUACUUGACGUGUGCUUGACGUGUGCGCGCCAGCAUGUUGGUUGUGUGUUACAAGAUGGGUAAGGAGUUCAGAAGUAGAAUGUUAACGUCUUUAAUUGUAAGCAAGUUUCGUUCCCGAGACGCGUUGCGGCACUCUGUAGGUGCGCGGAGCCGCCGCCGCUGUUUGGACAGCUGCUUGCGAAGGUUACGUGUGCCGACUGGCGCCGAGCACCACCCAGUGCCCGAGCGUGCAUGUGAGUCUGUUCUAACUACAAUGAGUGGAGUCCAAGGGCGACCCUCGCUGCUACUGCCGCAACUCGUUCCCCUGCGAUCGUGCUAGUCAUUCGGUUCCACGCCCUCGUAACUGCCUUCGCGAUUUCCGUUCACUUCACUUGACUUUUGUCCGUAUGUGCGCGUCCGUAGAGCAUACAAUUGCAUGCGGAGACGCGCGGCUGUAAAAUACACGUAUUUGACAGUUUGAAUGGCUACGAAGCUCCGGUGGGACGAUUAUUAGCGUAUUAUUUUUAGAGAUGAUUGUAAUUGUUGUGUGCGUUCCGAGGUGUGUCUGUGGCGUGUCCCAUGUGUGUGUGCGCGCCAUCGACGCACUAUUAAUAUCUGCGGCCGCUCGGUGGUUGGGUGUCUCCCUGUCAGGCUGUCAGUGUCACUGCUCAGUGCUCAGUAGAACUCAGUGUUCGUAGUGGAUGACUGGGCGGUGGAGUGUCAUAUCGCUGUGCGGAUACAGGGUGACGUCGGACGCACAUUGUGCCGAUCGACAAUCGUCUCUCGACACCGUUACCGAUUGCACCGUUGAUUUCGCAUUACGCGCAGCUAUCUACCAAUACAAACAAGAGUGAAAAGCGUUUGCGUGUAGUCAAUUCCCAGAAUAAUGUUUAUAUGAGCAACAUUUGAAAGUAAUGAUUAGUUUCUUAAGGGUGGACCGACAGAGCCCUUCGUAAACAUGUAGCUGUUGUCCAUACAUUGUGUUGGCUGUGCCUAAGCUAAUAUGUGCGUUCCAUGUUAUUACUCGUAGAAGGCGAGACGACGCGUCCGCCGCCCCUCGCGCCCUCGCUCUGUCGCACUGUGGAUCAUUGACGGAGUAACGCUCGUUCACCAAUCAAAGCAAUACAUAAUCCUUGUCCGGCCGAGUUGGGACAUUUGUUUCAGUCCAGCUGCCGCUUUGGUGGUCGGCAUCGCUUACAUGCCGCAGCAGGCUCCUGGCGUGGUACCGUCAUCGAGCGGGUGGCGACCAGGUUGCACUCGGCUCGUCCCAACAAGCCUGGCUCUUCUAUAGCCUCAGUCACGCGAGUGAGUACCAAGCGAGAAGAGGCUACUAGGUGUUUGUGGAUCAUUUCAUUAAUCCAUUAAUGAAUUUAUAGUAAAAGGCGCUAGUAUUCACUUUACACAAGUACUUAUUUAUUAGUUGAAAAGUCGACGUAAAUUGUCUUGAAAGGUAAAAGUUCAAUCUAUGUAUUUAGUCCGGUGAUAUAAACAGAACUUGAACAAACUACUGACAAAGCAUGUUCCACUACGCGUGUACUGAGUACAGUGUAGGCGUGUGGUGACGAGCGCUGUGCCUACAUUAUUUGUGUGUUUUCACGAAUUGAACGUGCAGAGUGCGCACUGUACCCCGAUGACACCUGUGCUACAUGCGAGCGAGCGUAUGUUGAAACAAUGGUAUAUUAUUUGUUAAUUCGGCUCGUAACCUCGAUGGCGCCGACCCGCUCCUAGAGAGUGUCCAACCAGCCGCUGCCUACUGCCGACAACUCGACGAGCCUGUCUCCACCGAGCAUAAACAAUUACAUUAGCAUCCAACUUUCUGCUACACCUUGCUACUAACUCAGAUACCGGUCGCUACGACGUUCGAAACGUUUUUAUGCAAAUGCGGCCUCCAACUACCUACUCUUCAAAAAUAAUUGUUAUUUUUGGACUCGGUACGGACGAAGGGGGGUGCAGGAGAUCAGCGGGGCGCGGGGGUAGAGUUAAAGGUCAAGCGCAUGCACCUGCAGCCGGGCAAGGGCGGCUAUCAGCAGCCACUCUGUCACUCGGCCCCACGCGGCAUUCCGUCCAGUGCGUUGGACGUACAGUUAAUCAACAGGCGUGUCCUCUCGAUACAAUGUUGUCGACAACUCUCUCCUGGCAGUGGAAGUGUCUCAGCUCCGUGCGGCGCGCCCGUUCCGAACUAUGGAGAAUAUUGUAGUUUGCGUUGUUUGAAGCAAUAACAUAAUAUGUAGCACUUUUUAAAGAUGAAGCUCAAUCAAUAUUAUCUUUAUUGACCUUAAUGCAAAGGCUUAGGCGUUGCAUUAAGCGGUGAUGACCUACUACCGACUGAACACCCUUUUUUAUGGUAAACCUCACAAAUACCGAUCUUAUGGAACGAUGGCGUUUAUACAUACCGACUGCCGAUACUUUUUAAAAAGUGACCAUGAAGCGUAACCCGGACGUCGCGAACCGGAGACGUUAAAGCUACUUUUAUGGUUUAUUCUCGUGUUGAUUAUUUCCAUUAUAAUUACAUUAAAUCAACUUUUAAAAUAUUCGACACGGUUCUGGGUGCUUUGAUCGCUGUUUUGGUACGAACAUUAUUGUUGCCAUUGCGGAGAGUCAUUGAAGACGGUCAGAUCUUUUUAUUCCGAACUUCAGACUCCGGACUCAAAGUGGAUCACGACGCUCAUGUUGUAAGUUCUAUGGGUACACGGAGCCAACGCUCUACAUCUAACGAUCACAUACGUUUGUGUGUUCCCUUGUGUGUCCGCAGUGCUGACCCAUAUUUAAAUGUUAGGUUUAUUCUUAUUGUUGCGGGGGACAUACGAGAUGAGAACGGAGACACCAGGAUCCCGAAUAGCAAAUAUAUAUACUUAACAAAGACAGCGAGUCCGGCCGGUGUCGAACUCGAAUUCCGCAGUACACAGCCACGCCACUUACGCAUCGAUCUCCAAAGGUUUUGAAAUAAAUUGAAUAUGAAACGAUCAAUGAUCGCCCUGCUUCUAAAGUGUGUCUUUGAGGGUGUCAACUGCCACGGGACUAGUGCAUGAUCUAGUUGUAGAUAAGGGGUGGGGCGAGGUAUCGCGGGCGGCGACCCGCGGCUGUGCACUUGUCUCACUCACGACAUCACCUCGACAUCAUAUCGUUACUUAUCCAUUAUCAGCUCUUCGUUGUGUGCACUCCGCACCAUCAAAGGGUUGAGAUGUAGAAACUAUUAGAUAUAUCGAGAGAAGUGCUUUUGGUAAUAUGAUACGAAUUCCGGUUUUACUCUCAUAAUUGACAAUACCCAUAUACCUAAAUGUUUAUGGGUAUGUGAUCGGCUGCAAUGAAAGUGCUGAUAAGAGCGUAUUGGGGGCGUCGCGCGACCGUCGCGAGUGCAGCCGGGUGCCCAUGCAUGGGAAGCUGCGUCGGUAGGUGCGGCCGCGGGACCGCUGCACAGAUAUAGCCGCGCCAGUGUCACCGAUAAUGUCAAGUGAUUCGGUGUUAAUAGUGUCAGUGGCGCGGGUGUGUGCGCGCGCGGAGCGUGUGUGUGUGUCCAUUCGGCGGACGGCGGUCGCUGACCCCGGUGCUCGGCCGUGGGCGCUCGCGAUAAACGCGCACAUAUACUGCGUGCAUGUGUAGUGUAUGGGACGCCGUGAGCCGCCGCCGCGCCGGUAUCGGUCUUCGGUUAUGUCCGGUCCCGUUAGCUUUCUCGCUUUCAGAUCUCGUUCGAUAUUUCAUUCUUGUUUUAAAAACGUCGACCCGACGCCGAGACUGGACUCUCUCGUACCAACUAUACGAAUAGAGUUAAUAUCGUCAGAGCAACUAACCGUGCAAAGAUACCAAAUUAGCUUCACUAGCUCCAUUCCAGACGAGUUUCAUAACAAUAGAUGGUCACAAAUAGUUGUAUCAGCGCACGCCGAGCGCAGUUCGAGCUGUAUACCAAUAGUGGAUUUAGUUAGUGGAGGGCGCCCGUCACACCGUCACACCGUCACACCGUCGCGGCGUCGGUCGGGUCCAGGCAGUGCCACUAAACUAACAAGUUGUUGUUGGUGUUGGUGGUGGAGGUGGUGGAGGUGGUGGCGGUAGGAAAGUGAUUGCGGGGCGAACGUCAGCUCCAAGCCAAGAUUCCUUCAGUCGAGCCAGAAACUGUUGGCUUUGGAUGCUCUGACCUAACUGCGAAAGUUUAAUCUUUUUGUAUAAAUUUUCCUUAGGUUAACACAUGUCCUUUCUGGCCUUAAGUGUUUAUCAGAAGUCAGAGUCACUGCACAAGUGUGGAUGAUGAAGCAGUUGCUGCUGAGCCUGCGGAGACGCUCGGGCUCGGCCGGGGGGUCUACCUGACGACGUUGGGAAGGCUAGGAUGAAAACCCACUGGAAUUGAACAAUAAAUUAUAAGAUUAUAAACCUGUAAUGUAUGAUGGCUUUGUUAUGCAAAUGUCAUGUCAGGCAAAAAUGACUGAACUGAUGUGGAUGAAAUUUUGUACAAGUACAUAUAUUUUAAAAUUGGGAUAGGUAUCUAAUGAAUAGUUUUUGGUAAUAAAUGACAUGAACCGGCCAUCGCCGAGAGACUAGAGGUCCGCGCAACGUUAUUAGCGCCGGUGCCUUAUACGUUCCUGCUACGUUCCUGAUACGCUCCUGAUACGCUCCUGAUACGUAACCAACGGGUCUAUAAAUCAUUGCCAGUUUACGGACCAAACAGCUAUGACAAUCAAAUCUUCUCGAAAAUUGCGACAUGUUUCACGUUUUCAGAAUGAAUUAAGCGCGGCUGAAGCCACAGGACAUAUCCCGCGUGAACAACACGUGCCAAACUUAGUAAUGAUGUUGGUCUUAAUACCGGAACAGUCCACAUCAACCAAUGACCUUUGUCGUGCAUCAGCUAUACUAUACGACACGCCCGGAAUCGUAAAAUAAAGUAUACGCGAGAUCAAAUAAUGGUGGGCUUAAUGAAGAGCCAAGACGUUGCCGCGUUGUAGUGAAUUUGAUGAGUUAAUGCAAUAAACAUUUGUAACACAAUAUCGUUCUGCUGUGUGCCUGAACGGUUUUGUAAUUGAAUACAUAAUAUAUAUUAUUGUGUUCAGUUUUAAAGCAUAUUCAGAAAGAUUUUCACACCACUGUCUCGAAGUAAACAGGAAAUCACAUGCAAUAAUAAUUAUGAUAUGAAAUGAUUUACGAUCUAAUCAAGUGGUGUGUGAUAUUGUCUGUGUGUGCAGUUAUCGGUAACGUUCACAGUUUAUCGGCCAGAGUAGGUCCCCGCUCUGGAAACUGUUGCGAAUGUACCUACGAGUAGUAUUCCACAAUUACUUUUUGAAACGUAUAAAUAAAACCAGGCGUUAACUUUGUAUAGCAGUAGUUAUUAAUGUUUAUGAAAAGUUGUUAUUUGAAUUUAAAUGGAGUGAUAUUUUUAUUUGUGUCUAGUGCAUUCGACCUCACAAGCCACCACCACACCACCAGUGUUAAGCGUUUAUUAGGCCCCGGAACGUCGCCCGCACAUACAUACAAUCUGUUUUACAAUCGUCACACAAAGAACCUAAAGUAAAACACAUUAAGUUAAUAAUCAUAAAAUACUUCGUUACUAUUGAAAUUAUUCAGAGAGCGAGUUGCACCGCUGCACCGCUACACCGCUGCACCGCUACACCGCUGCACCGCUACACCGCUGCAUAGCUGCACCGCUACACCGCUACAUCGCGGAUCGCUUUGUUUGUUGACAAGUGGUGGUUCGGGCGCGCCCAGCAUUGAACACGAUCCAUAUCUAACGUAAUACACAUAAUACUUCAUCGCUUACUAUGUUAUUAUAUUAAGAACCAAUAGCUUUAGACAGCUUUCUCAUCUCAAUGCUGUCUUUAUACACAGAGCGUUUCUGUUUAACAAAAUGGCUUUUACGUGCUUCAUUUUGAAGGACCUCAGUUUUCGAGAAAUUCAGUUUAAGAGAACAUUCGAUAAUGAACAUAAAUCUUGUCUUUCGUCCGCAAGUGGAAUAACAAUCAGUGAGUGAUUGGUAAACUUUGUUGGGAUGUACGUACGGUCGGGGCGAGUGCAGCCCCCGCGUCGCGUCGCACGGAGCGUCGGCAGUACUCGGCAGCAGUCGGCAUAUGUCCGCUCCUCACUAGCGACAGUCGCGACGGACUACGGGCCAUGUUUUGGAUCCAAGAAGCACACAGCAGCCGACACUGGUUAACUAACGGGCACGUGCAGUAGUGUACACACGUGCGCCAGUUCUGCAGCCGACUUCAGCCGAGCCAGCGAUGGGACGACAUGAACUCGGUGUGACUAGAAAUACGAAAAAAAUUAUUGAACAUCUUUGGCGAAGUAAGCUUCAAAACCACUGACGCACGGAACUUUAUUUUUUUUGAGAAAUGUAUACUGAGAGGCAGAUUUAAGACGAGUUGUGGCUAUUGAUCAGCACAGUAUAUAUUAUUAGACUAGCUGACCCGGCAGACUUCGUGGUGCCUCAAUUGAUAAAUAAAAGACCUAAAUUUUUGUAUAAAAUAAACUUAAAAUAAACAAAAGAAAUACGUCAGAAGGGGAACACGUCAUGAGAGGAAAAACAAAAAUUUUAUUUUUUAUUUUAUUCCGACCAUUUUCAUAUUUAUCUACCUUUUAAACCUUCUCUGGACUUCCACAAAUAAUUCAAGACUAAAAUUAGCCAAAUCGGUCCAGCCGUUAUCGAGUUUUAGCGACACUAACGAACGGCAAUUCAUUUUUAUAUAUAUAGAUUAGAUCAGAUGAGACAGUAGAUAAUUUUUACAUUAACUUUGAAGUAUUCUAAUUUACAUAAAGCUGACAAUAACAAUAAAUAAGAUUGAAUACGUUGAGUAUAGAGCUGCUCGACUGGCAGACGGCGCACAGCACGGCGACUCUAUAAUAUGUAGUUGAGUGUGGGUGUGUAGAGUGUAGACACGAACGGUGGACUAGGUUUCGCAUUAUAACAUAAACAACAUCAUUAUAAAUAUAUAAACAGGUAAAGGUAAAACUGUUCAGUACCUUUUCUUCUUCUGUUUUUCACUCGAUUUAUUUUGGUUUGAUAGGUUGCAAUUGAAGAGCUUUAGUGUUAUCACUGUAACAAUAUUAGGAACACUCGUUCUUCACCAGCCUUUCGAGAAUAAAUUUUAAACACCAACUAAAAGAGAAAAUGUAAUACAUAAAAUAGUUUUUAUUUAUUAUUGUUACUAUUAUUGUUAUUGUGUACUGUAUCAAUAAGUAAAUUGAUUAGAUUGUACUUUUCUACCCACCUAUGUGAAGCUCACCUUCUUUUAGAACGGUUAGCUGGUAGAUAACUCAAUUGUUGAGUUAAGCUCGCCAUUUUUAUAACUUUUCGUAAUUAUUAUAUUGUUUUAACUGUGUGUACAAUAAAGAAUAAAGAAAAUGAAUCUAAGUCUUGAGGUGCCAGUAGUUAUGCUCGAAUGUCGAUCGUCAUGCGGGUCAUACCGGAUACAAUAUGCGCGCGCGGUGUUUUCGUAGUGAAAACAAAUAAGAAUGGUGAGAUAGCGGUUCAAGAAACAUAGGUCCGCUGAUUUCCCAAUAAGAAUGGAUGAGAUCCAAGAUCUUUCAGAACUACAGCGGGGCGAAUGAUAUGGUUGAGAAGUUAUGUAUUCACAAGGAGUUCCUUCUGAUACCGGAGUGGAGAUCGUUCGCGCCAGUAACUAUAGCAGGGUCUGAGUCGCUUGAUCGUUGAUUAUGUGGUGACGAGCUGCAAGCGGUCCACUUAAUGAUAAUCGGUCAUCACAAACUCCCCUUCACAGAAGUUUCAAUGACAAUUUAUUCAAGAGCACAUGCUAUGUAAUUUAGGUCUGACUUCUUUAUUUGUUUUUAUAUCUUGUCAAUAUUUAUUUUUCCGUUUUUUAUUUUCUUUCUUUUUUAUUGCCGUUAAUCUUUUUUAUUGAAGUAAAUUAAUCCGGCCCACCUGAUGGUAAGCGUUCACCAUGGCUUAUGGACGUUACCAAUGCCAGGGACAGAGCCAAGCCGCUUCCUAGCAUUGAGUACUCUCCGCAGGCCUCGUUUGAAUAAGAACAUGACAUAGCGCUCGAGAAACACCGUGGGAGGGAGUUAAUUCCAAAGCCAUAUGGUGCGUGGCAGAAAAGAUUUUUCGAAAUGCCCGGUCGAUGAACGCAGCGGUUCCUAAUAUGGAUGAACUCUGCUCCGGUGGCGGGCUGUUUGGAGUCAAAUGGAAGUAGCUGGUAUUUGAGAGCCCCGGCCAAGAGGUGGGAGCAGUACUACACGCGAGGCUGGACCUGUGUGUAGUCUUUGAAAAAUGUUAUGUCAUGACUUAUAUAGAAGAUAUAUUUAAAAAAGUGAUAUCUAAGCUGAGUCACAUCGGUCCAGUACCUACGGGUGCCAUGCGCGCGCGGCCGCUGCGCUGGACAACUGCCGGCUCCACUCAGUUCAGGUUCUGUUCCGCUGUUAUCAUUUUGUUUUAUAAAUAGACUUAUAGUAAAAUUGCAGGCGGUCCCCUAUAAAAAUAUACAGUUUAUUUUUAUCAGUACGUUCCAGUGUUUUGUGUUUUAAUGUUUACUUGGUACAUUGUAUAUUUGUCAUCGAUUUUUCCAAAAUAUUGCUGUAUGUUUGUAAUUAGUGGUGUAACCAUGUAGGUAUAAUCUGGUAUAACGGAAGUUAGGAGUUGUUUGUAUUAAAAGCCUUAGGUUUUUAAACUAUUAUAUUUUUCCUUUCUAUUAAAUUUGAUUUAAUUGUGACUUGCAUAUUCAGGCAUCAUUGAAAGAAAUACUGACAAUUUAAAUGAUAGCGAUAUGACAUAAACUGAAGAAACGGAUCGACCAAUUAUACAAAAUAACUGAGUACUAUAUAUUUGCGCAUAAACACAAUAAUAUGAAUGUGUAACCAGAUCGGUAAUCGAAAAUAUCUAUUUAAAGUAGCGCCUCGAUCACAAUCAGAUAAUGGGUUGCGGGACCUGUUCCUCUGUGAGAUGAGACAUGUAGUGGAGCUGGUGCUAAUUAACGUGGGGCAGUGGGCAGCAGGUGAGCGCGCCGGAUGCCGCGCCGAGACAGACGCGGGAACACUCAUAGCCACUAUUUUAAACCAGUAAAAUGCAACUGCUUCGUGUAAUUUGUCGAUGUGAAUAAUAUUUUAAAUUGUUAUGUUUUUGUUCGGUCACAUCCUGCGGUGCGGUGCGGUGCGGCCUGGAGCCUGUGACCAAGCGAGGAGCAGCGAUGUGAGCACUGUCGUCGCUCAGCACACCCGUUUGCAACGAACUGAUUUAUUGGUGUCUAUGUAUCCGAAAAUAAAAGAGCUCUGACACAAA
Long non-coding RNA from Bombyx mori (domestic silkworm), 10376 nucleotides. RefSeq lists it as uncharacterized. The record is from RefSeq and is a predicted model, not a curated record. NCBI's taxonomy places the organism in Eukaryota, Metazoa, Arthropoda, Insecta, Lepidoptera, Bombycidae. The transcript is spliced from 2 exons.